UCAGUGGUUAAAAGAACUCAGUUAAGUUCU
RNAcentral lists this non-coding RNA (30 nucleotides) under Rattus norvegicus (Norway rat). Lineage: Eukaryota; Metazoa; Chordata; Mammalia; Rodentia; Muridae. The record is from RNAcentral.